CAGACGGCUCAGUAACACGUAGUCAACCUAACCUGUGGACGUGGAUAAUCUCGGGAAACUGAGGAUAAACCACGAUAGAUAACGGUGCCUGGAAUGGCCCAUUGUCCAAACAGUUUACUGCCACGGGAUGGGACUGCGGCCUAUCAGCUUGUUGGUGAGGUAAUGGCCCACCAAGGCUAUAACAGGUACGGGCUCUGAGAGGAGAAGCCCGGAGAUGGGUACUGAGACACGGACCCAGGCCCUAUGGGGCGCAGCAGGCGAGAAACCUUAGCAAUGUGCGAAAGCACGACUGGGUCAGUCCGAGUGAUUUCUGAUAAAGGAAUCUUUUGCCCGUCCUAAAAGCACGGGCGAAUAAGGGGUGGGCAAGUCUGGUGUCAGCCGCCGCGGUAAUACCAGCACCUCGAGUGGUCAGGACGAUUAUUGGGCCUAAAGCAUCCGUAGCUGGUUUUGCAAGUCUCCGGUUAAAUCCACCUGCUUAACAGAUGGGCCGCUGGAGAUACUACAAGACUAGGGAGUGGGAGAGGCAGACGGUAUUCGGGGGGUAGGGGGUAAAAUCCUCUGAUCCUUUGAGGACCACCAGUGGCGAAGGCGGUCUGCCAGAACACGUUCGACAGUGAGGGAUGAAAGCUGGGGGAGCAAACC
Molecule: ribosomal RNA, 642 nt
Filed under: uncultured archaeon
Lineage: Archaea
Description: bacterial SSU rRNA
Rfam family: Archaeal small subunit ribosomal RNA
Source: RNAcentral